GGACUGGAGCACUGACACCUCCAACAAGGAAAUCCAGACCAUGUAACUUCAACAAAAGACCCCAACAGACUAUCCUCCGCUACAGCAGCAUAACCUUCUGGAUCUCUUUAUCGUGCCUGGCUGAGGAAACCAGCAAAGCACAGACACCUCAGAUCCAGUAUCCAGUACCCCUGGGGGCCACAAGCCUUCAUCUGUCAGGUCUUCUGGGAACUUGGUGCGCCGGCCAUUAAAAAUGGAUGAAGACUCCAAGAACAG
This is a long non-coding RNA of Hyla sarda, 255 nucleotides long. RefSeq lists it as uncharacterized. The transcript is spliced from 3 exons. The record is from RefSeq and is a predicted model, not a curated record. Lineage: Eukaryota; Metazoa; Chordata; Amphibia; Anura; Hylidae.